This is a long non-coding RNA of Poecilia latipinna (sailfin molly), 3882 nucleotides long. RefSeq lists it as uncharacterized. The record is from RefSeq and is a predicted model, not a curated record. NCBI's taxonomy places the organism in Eukaryota, Metazoa, Chordata, Actinopteri, Cyprinodontiformes, Poeciliidae. The transcript has 2 exons.
UCUUCCUCUGGACGCAGCUAUAUGAAUUUGGACAAACGAGACGUUGAGUCACUUUGGGAGACAUCGCUGGUGGAGAUGUAGCUGUCCGGGGCGUGAGGGCGGCUCCAAGCCCCGCGUUAGCAGCGGGGAGGACCGGAGCUGUGGACGCGGAGGAUGGACCCGUCAGGAGCAUAAAUGGACUGCGCCGGCUGGGACGUCACGAUGCGUCGUCGCCACAAAGCUCAUGAACGCGUUCAUUUGGCUCCCAGCAUGCAGCACACCCGGAGGGACCGCCGCUUACAAGGAGGACCCCCUAAAAGCCCGCCCUGGAGCCCCCGAGGAGGAAAGAGAGCAUCCAGAGGUUUCUGUCGCGCAUUCGUUGCUGCAGGCCUGAGGGGUUGUCUGUUAUCUUUGGUUAUCUAGCUGUAUGAGUGACGUACAUUCUUCAUAAAGCUAGAUAACCGAAAGUAACAAGAAUCCCAUUACACGCCUGCACAGGAAGAAGGAAAACGGCGUGGAAAUUGAGCCCAGAGAGCAGCGGAUCGGGCUGGAGGUGGACGGCAGCUGCUGCUAACCAAUGAUGUGAAGGUAUGAUGCUGCGUUACAUAAGCGCCGAUUUUACCGAGAGGGGAGGGACGCAUCUGUGUGCGCUGUGGGCGAAAAGACAAUAACUGGGAUUAAAAAGAGCAAACUCACACUAUGGGCUAGCAUCUGUGUGCUCAUUUCUUUUUUUAUAAAAGGUUAAAUUCAAACUAAACACUCAUGAGUGAUUUCAAACCUCACAGAUCUGCUGUUCUUGAAAAAUAUGUUAAAAACAGAGUCACUAAAAUGAGAAGGUAAUCAGAACACAUUUUAUUAUGGCAAAUUGAGAGAAAACAUUACAAAAAUCACAAAAGUAAGAGUCACAUUCACAGAAAUAUUAAAACAUUUUUGGUGUCAAGUAUUUUUCAGGAAUGCUUUAAAACACACACUUUACAAAUCCUCAUUUCUGAGUCUAAUCAGGGAUUAUUCUUUUCAGAUUAAUCGUCUCAUUCAAAAAUAAAUACAAAUAUUUCAAUCCCAUAUGUUUCCAGAAAAGUCCCAGAAAACAUGGCAUGUAUAUUUUUUUACAGUUUAAUACAGUUUUUAUAUUUUAUAUAGUUGAAGAGAUUCAGUACUAGAUAUUUUUUACUUUGAACAAUUUUCCAUCUUAUAUCUUUUUUUUUUCCUCAGAGUGAAAUUCCUCAGAGUGAAAUUGAUUUCGUAUUUGAAAUACUUUUGAAAUGCAACGUGGAAAUGGGCCUGUCCUGCUGCUGUAAAACUACGAUGGCAAAAAUCUAAUUUCUUUAACUCAGAAAACGAAAGCAGCAAUUAUUCCCACUGGUGCCACAAGAAUGAAACACUGAAAAUCACAAUUUUAAUUUAAAUGUGUAAUUUAAAAUUAUUUUUAUUCUGAUAAACAGAGUUAAGCAGAAAGGUAAACAUCCAUCAACAUGUUUAUUGAGAAAAAUAUGAACAAUUUCUGUGAUUCUACUUUUUAUAAACUGACAGAGAGCUAUAAUAGCUUUGAUACGGCUCUCUGCCCAGGGCAUUUUUCCGUUUAGGGAUGGCAUGAAUGCUCAGGAACAAAAACGUCGUCAUAAGUUCUACAGUUUAUUGUCAUGUCCAGUCAGUAGGAAGUGGGCAGCCCUCGUCUUGGGUAUGUAAUAAACAAUUAUUUACCAGUUUAAUGCCCUGCUAACUGCUAAUGAUGCUUAGGUUCAAUUUAAAAUAUAACUAUUUCAGUAUUUUCUAACUUUAAUAUUGGUGUUUAUAGGCUGCUGGUUGGUCUUUCCUUUUAAAUACUUUAACAAAAACUAAGAAACUACCAUCUGGAUUUCAGUAUUUCAUCAGCUAAAAUAACUUUAAAAUUACGAUUAUAUUUAUCAAAACACAUAAACAGCAACUUCAGUGAUUUAUUUUGCAUCAGGAUAACCUUAAAGAGAGGCAGACAUAAAAAUAGUAAAAUAUACAUUAGUCAAACCUGGAUGGAUCGGUGAAAAAGGAGGAGCUUGUUCCACUGACUGAGUGUAACUCUUUCCAGCAACAGGUGUGGGAGGGGAGGGUGUGUGCCUCUAUUCCCCAUGAUGUUAGAGACGAUUCUUCCUCUGGGGGGAGCGUUUGUUUUUGAAGCCGUGGCCUUUAUAAAACCUCACACAGGUAACUUGCUGUGAUAUCGUUCUGCAUUUAGCAGCAAACUGCUGCAGAUUCAUGCAUGUUUCAGGCUCCUGCACAUAAAGGCCGAGUGUUUACACGUUCAUCCCCCUCCCCACCCUCACAUGAAUAUUAAUCCAUACUCAUCAGGGUUUGGCUUCUUUUAUGGCAGCCUUCAUAAAAGCACAUAAUGAGACUGCAGCUCUUGUUGGGUUUCAGAGAGCGCGUCCUGCAGAGGCAGAGGUGGAGACAAAACAAAGACCACCGCGAAAAGGCAAUUAGCAGCACUUUGCCUCGUUUGGAGCAUCUCCACUCCACUGGAAGCCUUUUUUUUUUCCUUCUUUUUUUUGCAGGUGAUUUUGUGGAAUCAAAAAAAUACAACAAAAGGACAUCUAAAUAACAAAAAACCGAAGAAACUCAAAGGUGCCAUUAAAACCGCGUGAAAAAGAAACAAACUCGGUAUUAAUUACGUGACCCUUCAGGCACAUUUUGAGCUCAAUUCCUCCCAAUUUGAAGCUCUUAGAGGGUCACAUUAAACGGUGUUAACUGGUGAGAGUAAGAGAACGCAACGUCACUCAGCAUGCUGUAAGGUUUAUCCAGCUGCUAUAUAAAAUCAGUGCUUGAUUAGCAGACAAAGUGCGAGUAUUUUUAUCAGUGUAAAACCGAGAUUUAAGCCAGUUUGUGUCCUAAUGAAGCAGGUUAUAAUCCAUUUUCUGUUGACCGGACUGUACUUCCCUCCUCCCCCCUCAUUCAUUUAAUUUCAUUCUUUGUGUUUUUUUUCCCCAGCUCAGAUUCUCAGAUGGUUGGCUCUGAUUUGUAUGCAUUUGCAUAAUGAAUGUCAUUUGCAUGCUCAGGGGCAGACCAUACCAUGAGAACGGCUGUGUUGGUUGUUUGUGCGAAUGUGUGUGUUUGCUCAUGCAUGGGGCACUGUGUGUACAUUUGGACGCUUUAUUAUUUUUUUUAAUGAACAGACCGACAUGUGGAGUUGUGUUUCCCUCCUGUGACUUUGUUUUUUUUUUCCUGUGCCAUGUUUGUGAGUGGGAGAGUUCCUCCUGAAUGUGCAUGUAGGGCAGCGAUGUGACGAUCAUGCCUCCUUCUCCUCCCCCCCUCGCCGUCUUGGUAGUGAUGCACCAACUAGAAGAAUGAAAAUAAAAGACUCCUUCCUCGAUCCCAUAAUCCUCCUCGUCUCUGACCCCUCCCUUGCCAGUUUGUCCUCCUCUCCCGCAUGGCAAGUCACAGUCCCGCCACCAUCUUAGGUGCUAAGACUGGCACAAAAUGGCAGCUGAACGGGAAACAUGGACAAGCCGGCGCUGCACCUUCCCCCACUUCACGUUAUGCCCUCAUCCUUUCCGCGCCAUUGGUCGCCUCGAGACGGUGUUAAUUACUGCCAGAGUGUUAAUUGCAGAGACCGCCGCCCCCCCCAGAGACGUGCAGGAAGGGAUGAGAUAGGAGAAAACCGUGCAGCCAGCCGGCGGCGUCUUAAUGUCGAAGAGGUGGCAUUUUUAAGGGCAACUGCGCCGCUUUCCGCCGUGCCCGUCGUCUCGCUGCAGCUGAUCGGGAUUCUAACGGCGAUGCCCGGGAAAAGUCUCGUUAAUUAAAUUGUUUCAGUGUUUUUAAUUACAAAAGAGUUGCAAUUAGCACAACUGGCGGUAUUUCUGCAUGUGGAGCUUUUAAUUCCAGAUGAGCGUGCCGGCAUCUUGAUUUGAUGAAAUAGAGGGGCAAAAAAAACAA